Molecule: transfer RNA, 69 nt
Filed under: Podarcis lilfordi (Lilford's wall lizard)
Lineage: Eukaryota; Metazoa; Chordata; Lepidosauria; Squamata; Lacertidae
Description: tRNA.Lys
Rfam family: tRNA (bases 4-61)
About the family: Transfer RNA (tRNA) molecules are approximately 80 nucleotides in length.
Source: RNAcentral
GGAUAGCUCAGUCAGUAAAGCAUGAGACUCUUAAUCUCAGAGACAUGGGUUCAAGUCCCAUGUUGGGCA